RNAcentral lists this transfer RNA (73 nucleotides) under Chloroflexota bacterium. Its description in RNAcentral is "Chloroflexi bacterium tRNA-Phe". It matches the Rfam family "tRNA". From Rfam's summary of the family: Transfer RNA (tRNA) molecules are approximately 80 nucleotides in length. Their secondary structure includes four short double-helical elements and three loops (D, anti-codon, and T loops). Lineage: Bacteria; Bacillati; Chloroflexota. The record is from RNAcentral. RNAcentral also lists the same sequence under 2 other names.
GCCGCGGUAGCUCAGUUGGUAGAGCAUCGCACUGAAAAUGCGAGGGUCCCCAGUUCGAGUCUGGGCUGCGGCA